GGAGCCACAGGGACAGCCGGUGGGCUCGGUGGGGCUGCAGAAGGUCGGGGCUGCACUGCUCUCGGCCCCCACACGGUUGGUUGGUUGGCGUGGUAAGUGCCCUGAUCCCUGGUCCUGAGAACUCAGGCUGGCACAGGGAUUCCCAGGGCAUCUACCACCACGCAGCUGGAGCAGGGCUGAGCCCAGGAGCAUGGAGAUGGACGCCCCCAGGCCCCCCAGUCUUGCUGUCCCUGGAGCAGCAUCGAGGCCCGGGAGGGCUGCCAUCAGCAGCAGUGAGCCAUCACCUCUGCUGGCCACAUUGUGUUUUUUCUCCUAGAACUGUGGACAACGGAAGGCUGAGCCCCAUCCAUUGAGUUCCUGGGGCCCCACUGGAGGGGCUGCUGUGGCCAGGGUGCACGGUCACAAAUGAAGACACCAAGGCGCAGAGAGGUGACUCAGCCUGCCCUCAGUCACCUAUCUGCUCCUGGAGGUGAUCCCCGACUCCAUGAGGAAGCAAGAGGUGCGGACGGGCAGGGAGGCCGGCCAGGGCCACGGUACGGGCUCCCCAGCCGAGCAGGUGAAAGCCCUCAUGGAUCUGCUGGCUGGGAAGGGCAGUCAAGGCUCCCAGGCCCCGCAGGCCCUGGAUAGGACACCGGAUGCCCCGCUGGGGCCCUGCAGCAAUGACUCAAGGAUACAGAGGCACCGCAAGGCCCUGCUGAGCAAGGUGGGAGGUGGCCCGGAGCUGGGCGGACCCUGGCACAGGCUGGCCUCCCUCCUGCUGGUGGAGGGCCUGACGGACCUGCAGCUGAGGGAACACGACUUCACACAGGUGGAGGCCACCCGCGGGGGCGGGCACCCCGCCAGGACCGUCGCCCUGGACCGGCUCUUCCUGCCUCUCUCCCGGGUGUCUGUCCCACCCCGGGUCUCCAUCACUAUCGGGGUGGCCGGCAUGGGCAAGACCACCCUGGUGAGGCACUUCGUCCGCCUCUGGGCCCAUGGGCAGGUCGGCAAGGACUUCUCGCUGGUGCUGCCUCUGACCUUCCGGGAUCUCAACACCCACGAGAAGCUGUGUGCCGACCGACUCAUCUGCUCGGUCUUCCCGCACGUCGGGGAGCCCAGCCUGGCGGUGGCAGUCCCAGCCAGGGCCCUCCUGAUCCUGGACGGCUUGGAUGAGUGCAGGACGCCUCUGGACUUCUCCAACACCGUGGCCUGCACGGACCCAAAGAAGGAGAUCCCGGUGGACCACCUGAUCACCAACAUCAUCCGUGGCAACCUCUUUCCGGAAGUUUCCAUCUGGAUCACCUCCCGUCCCAGUGCAUCUGGCCAGAUCCCAGGGGGCCUGGUGGACCGGAUGACGGAGAUCCGGGGCUUUAACGAGGAGGAGAUCAAGGUGUGUUUGGAGCAGAUGUUCCCCGAGGACCAGGCCCUUCUGGGCUGGAUGCUGAGCCAAGUGCAGGCUGACAGGGCCCUGUACCUGAUGUGCACCGUCCCAGCCUUCUGCAGGCUCACGGGGAUGGCGCUAGGCCACCUGUGGCGCAGCAGGACGGGGCCCCAGGAUGCAGAGCUGUGGCCCCCGAGGACCCUGUGCGAGCUCUACUCAUGGUACUUUAGGAUGGCCCUCAGCGGGGAGGGGCAGGAGAAGGGCAAGGCAAGCCCUCGCAUCGAGCAGGUGGCCCAUGGUGGCCGCAAGAUGGUGGGGACAUUGGGCCGUCUGGCCUUCCAUGGGCUGCUCAAGAAGAAAUACGUGUUUUACGAGCAAGACAUGAAGGCGUUUGGUGUAGACCUCGCUCUGCUGCAGGGCGCCCCGUGCAGCUGCUUCCUGCAGAGAGAGGAGACGUUGGCAUCGUCAGUGGCCUACUGCUUCACCCACCUGUCCCUGCAGGAGUUUGUGGCAGCCGCGUAUUACUAUGGCGCAUCCAGGAGGGCCAUCUUCGACCUCUUCACUGAGAGCGGCGUAUCCUGGCCCAGGCUGGGCUUCCUCACGCAUUUCAGGAGCGCAGCCCAGCGGGCCAUGCAGGCAGAGGACGGGAGGCUGGACGUGUUCCUGCGCUUCCUCUCCGGCCUCUUGUCUCCGAGGGUCAAUGCCCUCCUGGCCGGCUCCCUGCUGGCCCAAGGCGAGCACCAGGCCUACCGGACCCAGGUGGCUGAGCUCCUGCAGGGCUGCCUGCGCCCCGAUGCCGCAGUCUGUGCACGGGCCAUCAACGUGUUGCACUGCCUGCAUGAGCUGCAGCACACCGAGCUGGCCCGCAGCGUGGAGGAGGCCAUGGAGAGCGGGGCCCUGGCCAGGCUGACUGGUCCCGCGCACCGCGCUGCCCUGGCCUACCUCCUGCAGGUGUCCGACGCCUGUGCCCAGGAGGCCAACCUGUCCCUGAGCCUCAGCCAGGGCGUCCUUCAGAGCCUGCUGCCCCAGCUGCUCUACUGCCGGAAGCUCAGGCUGGACACCAACCAGUUCCAGGACCCCGUGAUGGAGCUGCUGGGCAGCGUGCUGAGUGGGAAGGACUGUCGCAUUCAGAAGAUCAGCUUGGCGGAGAACCAGAUCAGUAACAAAGGGGCCAAAGCUCUGGCCAGAUCCCUCUUGGUCAACAGAAGUCUGACCUCUCUGGACCUCCGCGGUAACUCCAUUGGACCACAAGGGGCCAAGGCGCUGGCAGACGCUUUGAAGAUCAACCGCACCCUGACCUCCCUGAGGGUGAAAUUCAUGUACCAUAAAAUUGACUGUUUUAGGCGGGUCCCAGAGGCUGAUGCCUGUAAUCCCAGCACUUUGGGAGGCCAAGGCAGGUGGAUCACUUGAGGUCGGGAGUUCGAGACCAGCCUGGCCAACAUGCCUCCAGGGCAACACCGUUAGGGAUGAUGGUGCCAGGUCCAUGGCUGAGGCCUUGGCCUCCAACCGGACCCUCUCCAUGCUGCACCUGCAGAAGAACAGCAUCGGGCCCAUGGGAGCCCAGCGGAUGGCAGAUGCCUUGAAGCAGAACAGGAGUCUGAAAGAGCUCAUGUUCUCCAGUAAUAGUAUUGGUGAUGGAGGUGCCAAGGCCCUGGCUGAGGCCCUGAAGGUGAACCAGGGCCUGGAGAGCCUGGACCUGCAGAGCAAUUCCAUCAGUGACGCAGGAGUGGCAGCACUGAUGGGGGCCCUCUGCACCAACCAGACCCUCCUCAGCCUCAGCCUUCGAGAAAACUCCAUCAGUCCCGAGGGAGCCCAGGCCAUCGCUCAUGCCCUCUGCGCCAACAGCACCCUGAAGAACCUGGACCUGACAGCCAACCUCCUCCACGACCAGGGUGCCCGGGCCAUCGCAGUGGCAGUGAGAGAAAACCGCACCCUCACCUCCCUUCACCUGCAGUGGAACUUCAUCCAGGCCGGCGCUGCCCAGGCCCUGGGACAAGCACUACAGCUCAACAGGAGCCUCACCAGCUUAGAUUUACAGGAGAACGCCAUCGGGGAUGACGGAGCGUGUGCGGUGGCCCGUGCACUGAAGGUCAACACAGCCCUCACUGCUCUCUAUCUCCAGGUGGCCUCAAUUGGUGCUUCAGGCGCCCAGGUGCUAGGGGAAGCCUUGGCUGUGAACAGAACCUUGGAGAUUCUCGACUUAAGAGGAAAUGCCAUUGGGGUGGCUGGAGCCAAAGCCCUGGCAAAUGCUCUGAAGGUAAACUCAAGUCUCCGGAGACUCAAUCUUCAAGAGAAUUCUCUGGGGAUGGACGGGGCGAUAUGCAUUGCCACAGCACUGUCUGGAAACCACAGGCUCCAGCAUAUCAAUCUCCAGGGAAACCACAUUGGGGACUCCGGGGCCAGGAUGAUCUCAGAGGCCAUCAAGACAAAUGCUCCCACGUGCACUGUUGAAAUGUGAUCCUGGUGGACGGAUCAGGAGAAUGGGCAGAUGCUCAGCUGGAAGCUUUUGAACAGAAAGGCCGACUUCUGGGGGGCCUGUCUGGGAGCUGGGAACGCUGCUUGCUCAGCACGAGAGCCGGGCUCUGCAGGGAGGAAGGAGAGGUGCUGCCGGAGGAGGUCGUGAGCUCCUCUUCUGCUGCAGGAGUGGUCCAGGCAGGGGGUGACGGGUACUCUGUUAUGGCACAGAGAAGGGAGGGGCCACCCCCAAGGGACUAGGGGCCAAAGGCCUGAAAGCUGAGCAGUACAGGAGGCUGGUUCCAGCUUUACACCCUGAGGACUUCAUGUGUCCCCAACCUUUAAAAAUGUUUAUUACUGCCCCUUUCCACUCACCUGGUUAAAAAUCAUCCCAUGCUCUGAGAUGAGCUGCCACCUCAAGCCCGUGAGGAGCAUCCGUUUGGUAGGGGUAACAGAGGGGACCCUUCUUUAUCUUCUCAAGAAGAAGAUUUCAGGGUAUCAUCCUUACAGACAUGAAAAAGCUAUGGGAAAAUUGUGAAGAUAAAUGAAAGUUUUAAUUCUAGGAUUCUGGAAACAGAGACAGUAAGAGUUCUCCAAGGAUUUUGCCUUUUUUGUUUGUUUUUGAGAUGGAGUCUCGCUCUUGUCGCCCAGGCUGGAGUGCAGUGGCACGAUCUCAGCUCCCUGCAACCUCCGCCUCCCGGGUUCAUGUGAUUCUCCUGCCUCAGCCUCCCCAGUAGCUGGGAAUACAGGCACCCGCCACCAUGCCCGGCUAAUUUUUGUAGUUUUAGUAGAGACGGGGUUUCAUCAUGUUGGCCAGGCUGGUCUCGAACUCCUGACCUCAGGUGAUCCAUCAGCCUGGGCCUCCCAAAGUACUGGGAUUACAGGCAUGAGCCACCACACCUGGCCCCAUUUUUUAUUUAUUACAAAAUCAAAGACAUGGGUGAUGCCUGGCACAUGUUGUCUGGAGUCUGGCACACUGGUUAUCAAUAGCACAUUCAGUGUAUUCAGUGAUGUCAUUCUUUAUUUAUUUUUGAGACAGAAUCUGUCACCCAGGCUGGAGUGCAGUGGCAUGAUCUCAGCUCACUGUAGGCUCUACCUCAUGGGUUCCAGUGAUUCUCCUGCCUCGGCCUCCCAAGUAGUUGGGUCUACAGGCACGCACCACCACACCCAGCUAAUUUUUGUAUUUUUAGUAGAGAUGGGGUUUCACCAUGUUGAUCAGGCUGGUCUUUAACUCCUGACCUCAAGUGAUCCACCCACCUCAGCCUCCCAAAGUGCUGGGAUUACAGGUGUGAGCCACUGCACCUGGCAGUGAUGUCAUUCCUUACUAGGCUUCCAAAGCCACUGCUGUGGCCACAGCUUCCAUGGAGACAGGCAAGCUGAGCCUCUAUGUGGCACCAAUUCCUGCAGCUGUUUGUGUUGGAGGGAAAAAAAUCCAAAUGGACAUCAACAGCUUUCAUCAACUAAAUAACCACAGAAAAUAUUUAUGAAGACUAUAAAGCAAUGAUUACUUUUGAAUUGGAAAGGAAUCACUAUUAUUUGAAAUGUUUCUUCAAAAGUGAGCAUCCGGACAGGAACCAUCAUGGAUGCUGAGGCCAUGGAUGAAGGCCUACUCGGGAAGAUGAUAUCCUUGCAGUCUCAAAACGGCACCCCACAAAGGUGAUAUCCUAAUUUACAAAGGGAAAAAGGUACCUUAAUCUGAAAUCUGGCAAAUGCAGCCUCAACAGAAGUGACAGAAUUGAACAUCGCCAAUAAUGGGACACACAGACAUCACAUGCCCCCAGUCUGAUGCACCACGGAGUCGUCUCUGAUGUAUUCUUGUCAAAAAAUGUUUGCCUGAUUCUAAUCAUGAAAGAACAAUUAGAAAAAAUCCAAAUUGACAGAUAUUCUGCAGAAUAAAUGGCCUGACCUCAUCAAAAACAUCAAUGUCAUGAAAAACACAAAACAUUGCAGAUAGCGUGAAAUUAAAGAUUACAGAGAUAUAAUUUAAUGCAAGAUCUCUGACUGGAUCCUAGACUGCAGGAAAAAGUCUGCUAUAAAGAACAUUUGGAUCACUUGUAGUAGCUGGGAAAUAAAACAAAACAUUAUUUGUAAAAGGGGGGAAAUCUGAACAUGGGUCUUGCAGUAUUUAUGACAGUUUUUGCGGGGCAGAGAUUUCUAGAUUGACAGCUGUUUUAGUACUUUCAAGGUGAUGCUCUGUCUGCUGGUUUGCAUUGUUUCUGUCUGAGUUAAGAGACUGGCAGAACACAGAGUUGCAGUAGCCAAACACUGGAGAAAGCUGGGCCCUACAGAAACCUAACGCUGAAGAAACCUCAGGAGCCAAACUGGUGGAGAAAACAAAGAGUCCUCCCUCUCUCCCUUUUCAAAUAAUGAUCAUACAUCUUCAAGCUGUCUGAAAUGGUUAAGGAGUUCAGUCUGUCGUCAGGCACACACCAGAGCCAGCUAGCCCACACAGACCCCAUCAGAGCAAAACAGACAAGAGAAUUUAAUUCAUAUCCACAUAGAAAGGACUUCUAGGUAGGAGGUAGACCCUUUAGCUCCCUUCCAAUUAAAGGAGUCCCCAAUUCUGGCACCUGAGAGUCCCCUGGGUCUAACAGCUAUGAUAUUUAUGUAGUGUGUUGCUUACCUAAAUGAAUACAAUUUCCUUCCAGACACGUGACACUGAUAUUAAAGUGCUAAUGAGAGGGAUCUAUUUCUUCUUGUACGCUAAAAGAGAAACAGCAGUUCAGAUUUCCCAUCAGAAGUCCGAGGACUUUGUUCUUGAUAACUACUACCAAUAAAAAUUGAGUAUUUGAAAAA
This is an RNA transcript of Homo sapiens (human), 6610 nucleotides long. It is a transcript of the gene named NLR family CARD domain containing 3, with no coding region annotated. NCBI's taxonomy places the organism in Eukaryota, Metazoa, Chordata, Mammalia, Primates, Hominidae. The transcript has 21 exons. The record is from RefSeq and is marked reviewed.